UGCCAGCAGCCGCGGUAAUACGGAGGGGGCUAACGUUGUUCGGAAUUACUGGGCUUAAAGAGUUCGUAGGUUGUUGAAAUAGUUGGUGGUGAAAUCCCAGAGCUUAACUCUGGAACUGCCAUCAAAACUUUUCAGCUAGAGUAUGAUAGAGGAAAGCAGAAUUUCUAGUGUAGAGGUGAAAUUCGUAGAUAUUAGAAAGAAUACCAAUUGCGAAGGCAGCUUUCUGGAUCAUUACUGACACUGAGGAACGAAAGCAUGGGUAGCGAAGAGGAUUAGAUA
RNAcentral lists this ribosomal RNA (279 nucleotides) under uncultured bacterium. Its description in RNAcentral is "partial 16S ribosomal RNA". It matches the Rfam family "Bacterial small subunit ribosomal RNA", at positions 506 to 784 of the family's 1533-position model. The record is from RNAcentral.